UUUUNGAGUUUUGAUCCUGGCUCAGGAUGAACGCUGGCGGUCUGCUUAACACAUGCAAGUCGAACGGAAUCCUUAGGGAUUUAGUGGCGGACGGGUGAGUAACACGUAAGAACCUGCCUCUAGGACGGGGACAACAGUUGGAAACGACUGCUAAACCCGGAUGAGCCGAAAGGUAAAAGAUUAAUCGCCUAGAGAGGGGCUUGCGUCUGAUUAGCUAGUUGGUGAGGUAAGAGCCCACCAAGGCGACGAUCAGUAGCUGGUCUGAGAGGAUGAUCAGCCACACUGGGACUGAGACACGGCCCAGACUCCUACGGGAGGCAGCAGUGGGGAAUUUUCCGCAAUGGGCGAAAGCUGACGGAGCAAGACCGCGUGGGGGAGGAAGGUUCUUGGAUUGUCAACCCCUUUUCUCAGGGAAGAACACAAUGACGGUACCUGAGGAAAAAGCAUCGGCUAACUCCGUGCCAGCAGCCGCGGUAAUACGGGGGAUGCAAGCGUUAUCCGGAAUGAUUGGGCGUAAAGAGUCCGUAGGUAGUCAUCCAAGUCUGCUGUUAAAGAGCGAGGCUUAACCUCGUAAAGGCAGUGGAAACUGGAAGACUAGAGUGUAGUAGGGGCAGAGGGAAUUCCUGGUGUAGCGGUGAAAUGCGUAGAGAUCAGGAAGAACACCGGUGGCGAAGGCGCUCUGCUGGGCUAUAACUGACACUGAGGGACGAAAGCUAGGGGAGCGAAUGGGAUUAGAUACCCCAGUAGUCCUAGCGGUAAACGAUGGAAACUAGGUGUGGCCUGUAUCGACCCGAGCC
RNAcentral lists this ribosomal RNA (797 nucleotides) under Planktothrix agardhii TURKEYBLM1. Its description in RNAcentral is "bacterial SSU rRNA". It matches the Rfam family "Bacterial small subunit ribosomal RNA", at positions 1 to 842 of the family's 1533-position model. The record is from RNAcentral. Lineage: Bacteria; Bacillati; Cyanobacteriota; Cyanophyceae; Oscillatoriales; Microcoleaceae.